UGCAAUAAGGCAGAGGGUCUAAUUGAGU
RNAcentral lists this non-coding RNA (28 nucleotides) under Homo sapiens (human). The record is from RNAcentral. Lineage: Eukaryota; Metazoa; Chordata; Mammalia; Primates; Hominidae.